Molecule: long non-coding RNA, 1073 nt
Organism: Oncorhynchus tshawytscha (Chinook salmon)
Lineage: Eukaryota; Metazoa; Chordata; Actinopteri; Salmoniformes; Salmonidae
Source: Ensembl
AGACAGAACUAGAAUGUCUUAAUGAAACAUAAUAGAACACAGAGGAAGACAGAACUAGAAUGUCUUAAUGAAACAUAAUAGAACACAGAGGAAGACAGAACUAGAAUGUCUUAAUGAAACAUAAUAGAACACCCAAUAUGUUAAUGGCCCAGAAUCAUUCCUAGUCAGGACACAACACAUGAUCAGAUUCCUGUCCAUAGUGGCGGUAGGUGUUCCCCUGGUGGACAGGGUACCUGGCCUAUCUACACAGGAAGACUAAACAGAACAUAAGGCCUUCUGGUAACAUGAGGGGAACGUCGGUGGUACUCCGGCCAGAGCUACAUGUGAUGGGGGACAGAAACCAAAAAAAGAUUGAGAACCAAUUCAUGCCUCUACUUAUAGGAGACAUUUCACAUAGCACCCAUUCCUUUUACAGUGCACUACUUUUGACUAUAUAGGGAACAGGGUGCACUAUAUAGGGAAUAGGGUGUUCUAUAUAGGGAUUAGGGUGUACUAUAUAGGGAAUAGGGUGCCAUUUGGGAUGCAUACUACAAAAACAUUUAUUUUACCUAACUAGGCAAGUCAGUUAAGAACAAAUUCUUAUUUUCAAUGACGGCCUAGGAACAUUGGGUUAACUGCCUGUUCAGGGGCAGAAGUACAGAUUUGUACCUUGUCAGCUCGGGGUUUGAACUUGCAACCCUUACUAGUCCAACGCUCUAACCACUCGGCUAUCCUGCCGCCCCACAAUGCACUUGGGCUUUGGUCAAAUGUAGUGCACCAAAUAGGGGAAUAGUAUAAGGGAAUAAGGGAAUAGUGUGAGGUAAUAAGGGAAUAGGGAAUAAGGGAAUAGGGAAUAAGGGAAUAGUGUGAGGGAACAAGGGAAUAAGAAAUAAGGGAAUAGGGAAUAAGGGAAUAGUGUGAGGGAAUAAGGGAAUAAUGUGAGGGAAUAAAGGAAUAUUGUGAGGGAAUAAGGGAAUAGUGUGAGGGAAUAAGGGAAUAGUGUGAGGGAAUAAGGGAAUAGUUUGAGGGAAUAAAGGAAUAUUGUGAGGGAAUAAGGGAAUAGUGUGAGGGAAUAAGGGAAUAGGGAAUAAGGG